This 88-nucleotide transfer RNA is filed under the name Candidatus Latescibacter sp. Its description in RNAcentral is "tRNA-Leu". It matches the Rfam family "tRNA". Rfam says of the family: Transfer RNA (tRNA) molecules are approximately 80 nucleotides in length. Their secondary structure includes four short double-helical elements and three loops (D, anti-codon, and T loops). Further hydrogen bonds mediate the characteristic L-shaped molecular structure. tRNAs have two regions of fundamental functional importance: the anti-codon, which is responsible for specific mRNA codon recognition, and the 3' end, to which the tRNAs corresponding amino acid is attached (by aminoacyl-tRNA synthetases). tRNAs cope with the degeneracy of the genetic code in two manners: having more than one tRNA (with a specific anti-codon) for a particular amino acid; and 'wobble' base-pairing, i.e. permitting non-standard base-pairing at the 3rd anti-codon position. Lineage: Bacteria; Pseudomonadati; Candidatus Latescibacterota; Candidatus Latescibacteria (ex Chuvochina et al. 2023); Candidatus Latescibacterales; Candidatus Latescibacteraceae. The record is from RNAcentral.
GCCGGGAUGGCGGAACUGGCAGACGCACAAGACUUAAAAUCUUGGGAGCCAUAGGCUUGUACGGGUUCAAUUCCCGUUCCCGGCACCA